Molecule: long non-coding RNA, 1643 nt
Filed under: Anser brachyrhynchus (Pink-footed goose)
Lineage: Eukaryota; Metazoa; Chordata; Aves; Anseriformes; Anatidae
Description: lncRNA (ENSABRG00000014779.1)
Source: RNAcentral
UACUACUGAACAGAGCUGCCUGCCAUGGGGGUUCUUAAAUUCACUGAAUGAUGAAUUCACAGGAUGAUGCAUUUAGCUAUUCUUGGCUCGCCGUCAUUCAAAGUAGUCUCACAUCAGAGUGGUGAGAUUGUAUGACACCGAACUGUGUCUCGUGGCGCUCCAUUUGGGGAAAAUCAGAUUUCCUCAACAAUUAACAAUGGUCCGGGGAUUCCGUGGGUAUUACCAAGCGGUGGCUUGUUCCCUAAGAUGCUAGGUGAAGAGGAGGGAGGAACUUCAGGGUCCUUUGUCCGGAGUCCUAGCUGUCAGAAAACUGUUUGUGCCCUCGUCCCUUGGUGGCUCCGGGUCGGUGGGGCUGGAUGCUGCCGAAAAACAUACUGGCCUUCUGUAGAACGGCGGCUGGAAAGGAAACAAAUAAAGAAAAAGUUAUAUCAAAGGAAGAAAGAGAUAUAUAAAAAUAAAGAUGUAUAAAGAAGAAGAUCUAUAAAAAGAUAUAUUGAGAUAUAUAAAGAUGUAUAAAGAAGAUACAUAAAAUAAAAAGAUAUAUUAAAAAAUAUAUGAAGAAAAACAUAUAAAGAUGUAUGAAAUCAAAAAGAUAAAAAUAAAUAAAAAUUAACAUAUAUAAAAUCAACAGAUAUAUAAAGAAAAACAUAAAAAUAAGGAAAAACGUAAAAAUAAAGAAAAAGAUGUAUAAAAUAAAAAAAUAUAUAAAAAUAAGGAUGCAUAAAAAUAAAGAAAAACAUACAAAAUAGCGAAAAAGAUACACAAACCCAAAGAAAAGCACACGUUAUAGGACAGGGCGCAGGCCGCGCCCCCCUCACGGCCCGGCGCUGCCGCCCCCAAAUGGCGGCGGGGCCGAGGCCGAGGCCGAGGCGGGGGCGGGGCCGGGCACGCGGCGGCUCCCCGGCGAAGUUUCCCGCGGGCGGGACCCGCGCCCCGCCCCGCCCCGCCCCCCCGUGCCGGCCGCCGGCGCGCGGGGCCCCAACUUUUCGGGGGCGGGGCCGCGGGGAGGCGGCGAGCGCGCGGCGGGGGCCGGCACUUGCCCGCCGCGGUGCGGCCGCGGGUCCCGGCAGCGCCCGGCUCGGCUCCGGGCGGGGGGGGGGCGGGAUGGGGACGGCGACGGGGCGGGCGCCGGGGGCUGCAGCGCGGCCCGGCCCCGGCGGCGGAGCGGCGGCGGCGGCGGCGAGCGCGCGCACGUGACUCCGGCGCUGGGCGCCCGCACACCGCGCCCGCUGCCCUCGCCGCCUCCCCGAGCACCGUGCGAGCCGCCGGCAGGGCACGGCUCGGCUCGGCUCGGCUCGGCACCGCGCGGCUCGGCACCGCGCGGCUCGGCACGGCACGGCUCGGUACCGCGCGGCACGGCACCCGGCGCCGAGCAGGCGGCAAGAGUUCGCGAAGGCUGCCGCUGCGUUGCCUUCCCGGAGAGGUUGCGCGCCCGGAGGAUGGCCGGCUGCGGGCUGUCGGAGGACGCCUUCUUCUCGUCCUUCUUCUGCAACUACACCUCCUCCUGGGAAGCCUCCUACAACCAGUGUGGAUGCUUGCGAUCCAGUUUGUCUCGCUAUGACCAGAAGGUAUCACUGAGGGAUACCAGCGCGACGGAUGCACAUAGGAGAGAACCUGACGUACGUUUAGGUGUAGAGGCUUAA